This 521-nucleotide ribosomal RNA is filed under the name uncultured bacterium. RNAcentral describes it as "bacterial SSU rRNA". It matches the Rfam family "Archaeal small subunit ribosomal RNA", at positions 345 to 866 of the family's 1478-position model. The record is from RNAcentral.
AACCUCCGCAAUGUGAGAAAUCGCGACGGGGGGAUCCCGAGUGCCAUUCUUAACGGGAUGGCUUUUCUUAAGUGUAAAAAGCUUUUGGAAUAAGAGCUGGGCAAGACCGGUGCCAGCCGCCGCGGUAACACCGGCAGCUCUAGUGGUAGCUGUUUUUAUUGGGCCUAAAGCGUUCGUAGCCGGUUUGAUAAGUCACUGGUGAAAUCCUGUAGCUUAACUGUGGGAAUUGCUGGUGAUACUGUUGAACUUGAGGUCGGGAGAGGUUAGCGGUACUCCCAGGGUAGAGGUGAAAUUCUGUAAUCCUGGGAGGACCACCUGUGGCGAAGGCGGCUAACUGGAACGAACCUGACGGUGAGGGACGAAAGCUAGGGGCGCGAACCGGAUUAGAUACCCGGGUAGUCCUAGCCGUAAACGAUGCGGACUUGGUGUUGGGAUGGCUUUGAGCCGCUCCGGUGCCGAAGGGAAGCUGUUAAGUCCGCCGCCUGGGAAGUACGGUCGCAAGACUGAAACUUAAAGGAAUU